RNAcentral lists this ribosomal RNA (434 nucleotides) under uncultured Clostridium sp. Its description in RNAcentral is "partial 16S ribosomal RNA". It matches the Rfam family "Bacterial small subunit ribosomal RNA", at positions 341 to 792 of the family's 1533-position model. Lineage: Bacteria; Bacillati; Bacillota; Clostridia; Eubacteriales; Clostridiaceae. The record is from RNAcentral.
ACGGAAGGCAGCAGUGGGGAAUAUUGCACAAUGGGCGAAAGCCUGAUGUAGCGACGCCGCGUGAGCGAUGAAGUAUUUCGGUAUGUAAAGCUCUAUCAGCAGGGAAGAAAAUGACGGUACCUGACUAAGAAGCUCCGGCUAAAUACGUGCCAGCAGCCGCGGUAAUACGUAUGGAGCAAGCGUUAUCCGGAUUUACUGGGUGUAAAGGGAGCGUAGACGGUUUGGCAAGUCUGAAGUGAAAUGCGGGGGCUCAACUCCUGAACUGCUUUGGAAACUGUCGAACUAGAGUGCAGGAGAGGUAAGUGGAAUUCCUAGUGUAGCGGUGAAAUGCGUAGAUAUUAGGAGGAACACCAGUGGCGAAGGCGGCUUACUGGACUGUAACUGACGUUGAGGCUCGAAAGCGUGGGGAGCAAACAGGAUUAGAUACCCUGGUA